UAAAAACCCGGGUAGUCCUAGCCGUAAACGAUGCAUACUAGGUGAUGGUGCGGCCAUGAGCCGCAUCAGUGCCGUAGGGAAACCGUUAAGUGUGCCGCCUGGGAAGUACGGUCGCAAGGCUGAAACUUAAAGGAAUUGGCGGGGGAGCACCACAAGGGGUGAAGCCUGCGGUUCAAUUGGACUCAACGCCGGGAAACUUACCAGGGGAGACAGCAGAAUGACGGUCAGGUUGACGACCUUACCUAACGAGCUGAGAGGAGGUGCAUGGCCGUCGCCAGUUCGUGCUGUGAGGUAUCCUGUUAAGUCAGGCAACGAACGAGACCCGCACCUUUAUUUGCCAGCAAGAGGUUACGACUUCGUUGGGAACAAUAAAGGGACCGCCGUCGAUAAGACGGAGGAAGGAGCGGGCGAAGGCAGGUCAGUAUGCCCCGAAACCCCUGGGCUACACGCGGGCUGCAAUGGUAUGAACAAUGGGCUGUGACUCCGAAAGGAGAAACCAAUCCCGAAAU
RNAcentral lists this ribosomal RNA (509 nucleotides) under uncultured archaeon. Its description in RNAcentral is "bacterial SSU rRNA". It matches the Rfam family "Archaeal small subunit ribosomal RNA", at positions 730 to 1237 of the family's 1478-position model. The record is from RNAcentral.